Lathyrus oleraceus (garden pea) is the source of this 1067-nucleotide long non-coding RNA. RefSeq lists it as uncharacterized. The record is from RefSeq and is a predicted model, not a curated record. Lineage: Eukaryota; Viridiplantae; Streptophyta; Magnoliopsida; Fabales; Fabaceae. The transcript is spliced from 2 exons.
UUAAGUCACGUGGGAUUUAGAAAAAUGAAUAGCACGCUUCACUCUUUGAUUUUUUCACUGAAGUUUGGAUAUUCUCAUUGAACCAAAUUGGUUUGGAUCCCUUAACUUCCUGAACUGCUUAUUGUUUUGGAACUCAUUGCUUUGAACUGAACUGCUUUUUUUUUGGAUUAUAUGUCUGUGUUGGUACGCUUAGACAACUUGCUCUGUUUCUGCAGGUUUUCUUGGUUUUUGAUUCUGCAACAGGGUAAUGGUUACGACUCAAAUUCCAUUUCUUGCCUUGCAUUGCCAACUGUUAUGGAUUUUGCUGGUGUAGCCAUUAGAAUCACCUUGAUCCUCUUUUGCAGGUAGCUCUGAAGUUGCAGUGGGAUGCUUGGUUGAUAUGACUUAGCUCAAGUCAAAUGUUCCAACUCUAGUCAUUAUGUAUUGAUCUGGUUAGGUUCCUUGUAGCAUGGCAUUGCAGCAGGAUAGGGUGUUUUAGUUCCCACCAUUUCAGAAACUACACAAUCAGAGAUACAACUGUCACCUGCUAGGGAAGGUUUAACCACAACUCUGCAACAUGAUACGUGUCGGAUUGCAGGUUGUAUGCCCAUGAGUUACUGCAGGAACGUGUUUGUAGCAUGUAAUGCAUGUCCUGUUUUGGGUCUGCAAUAGGGCUUGCUUGGAUGUGACCAGCCUGCUGCAAGAAUGUAAUUUACUUGCAGUUUAGCUUGGUGCAGCUGCUGGCUCAUGCUAGUUCUGCACAAUAGGGUCUGCACCGUAAUUCUGGUUCAGUUCCUUGCCAUGCUCACUCCCUUGGCCUUGUUUCUUUUGGCAAGUCAUGCUCCAACAAAUCCAUUUCUAAAUGCUCUACAUUACUUGGUGUUAAUUGCCUUGAAUUCUAGUAUGUGGCUCACUUUUAUGCAGGUUUUUGGUGGUAUUUAAAUGCAGAAAUUUGGUUUUGGAAUGCAGAAUUUUUGCUGUAUUUUAUGCAGAGUUUUUGUGUGUUUUAUGCAGAGUUUUUAUGCAGAAUUUUGGAUGCACUUUAAUGCAGAAUUUUGUUUAUGCAAUGCAGAAUUUCUAAUGCAGAA